Molecule: ribosomal RNA, 491 nt
Filed under: uncultured bacterium
Lineage: Bacteria
Description: partial 16S ribosomal RNA
Rfam family: Bacterial small subunit ribosomal RNA
Source: RNAcentral
GAUGAACGCUAGCUACAGGCUUAACACAUGCAAGUCGAGGGGAAACGACAUCGAAAGCUUGCUUUUGAUGGGCGUCGACCGGCGCACGGGUGAGUAACGCGUAUCCAACCUGCCCAUCACUUGGGAAUAACCUUGCGAAAGUAAGACUAAUACCCAAUGACAUCCCACGAAGACAUCUGAAUGGGAUUAAAGAUUUAUCGGUGAUGGAUGGGGAUGCGUCUGAUUAGCUUGUUGGCGGGGUAACGGCCCACCAAGGCAACGAUCAGUAGGGGUUCUGAGAGGAAGGUCCCCCACAUUGGAACUGAGACACGGUCCAAACUCCUACGGGAGGCAGCAGUGAGGAAUAUUGGUCAAUGGGCGAGAGCCUGAACCAGCCAAGUAGCGUGCAGGAUGACGGCCCUAUGGGUUGUAAACUGCUUUUAUAAGGGAAUAAAGUGGGUCUCGUGAGACUUUUUGCAUGGACCGUAGGAAUAAGGACCGGCGAAUUCCGU